This 150-nucleotide ribosomal RNA is filed under the name uncultured eukaryote. RNAcentral describes it as "partial small subunit ribosomal RNA". It matches the Rfam family "Eukaryotic small subunit ribosomal RNA", at positions 1651 to 1798 of the family's 1831-position model. The record is from RNAcentral.
CCCUGCCAUUUGUACACACCGCCCGUCGCUACUACCGAUUGAAUGGCUUAGUGAGACCUCCGGAUUGGCGUCUUUUUGCGGGCAACUGCGAUUGGAUGCUGAAAAGCUGGUCAAACUUGGUCAUUUAGAGGAAGUAAAAGUCGUAACAAG